GGGCUUGUAGCUCAGGUGGUUAGAGCGCACGCCUGAUAAGCGUGAGGUCGGAGGUUCGAGUCCUCUCAAGCCCA
RNAcentral lists this transfer RNA (74 nucleotides) under Agathobaculum butyriciproducens. RNAcentral describes it as "tRNA-Ile". It matches the Rfam family "tRNA". Rfam says of the family: Transfer RNA (tRNA) molecules are approximately 80 nucleotides in length. Their secondary structure includes four short double-helical elements and three loops (D, anti-codon, and T loops). Lineage: Bacteria; Bacillati; Bacillota; Clostridia; Eubacteriales; Butyricicoccaceae. The record is from RNAcentral. RNAcentral also lists the same sequence under 2 other names.